RNAcentral lists this transfer RNA (58 nucleotides) under Bombyx mori (domestic silkworm). It matches the Rfam family "tRNA", at positions 15 to 71 of the family's 71-position model. Rfam says of the family: Transfer RNA (tRNA) molecules are approximately 80 nucleotides in length. Their secondary structure includes four short double-helical elements and three loops (D, anti-codon, and T loops). Further hydrogen bonds mediate the characteristic L-shaped molecular structure. tRNAs have two regions of fundamental functional importance: the anti-codon, which is responsible for specific mRNA codon recognition, and the 3' end, to which the tRNAs corresponding amino acid is attached (by aminoacyl-tRNA synthetases). tRNAs cope with the degeneracy of the genetic code in two manners: having more than one tRNA (with a specific anti-codon) for a particular amino acid; and 'wobble' base-pairing, i.e. permitting non-standard base-pairing at the 3rd anti-codon position. Lineage: Eukaryota; Metazoa; Arthropoda; Insecta; Lepidoptera; Bombycidae. The record is from Rfam by way of RNAcentral.
GGCUUUGGGAGUCUGACUCCAGAUCAGAAGGUUGCGUGUUCAAAUCACGUCGGGGUCA